Molecule: long non-coding RNA, 1068 nt
Organism: Anguilla anguilla (European eel)
Lineage: Eukaryota; Metazoa; Chordata; Actinopteri; Anguilliformes; Anguillidae
Exons: 2
Source: RefSeq, a predicted model, not a curated record
UGCGUUUACAUACACGUUUGAAAUCGAUCUAUAUUAAUAGUUCGAUUUGGCCAAAGAUGAGAUUUAAUGGGACUAUUGUCGUUGUCCCAAUAUACAUGACUCAGAAAGAAUCGAUUUAUUGACCGAGGUGUGUCUGACGAAGACUUUCUUCUGGUUGACCUUUUGCGUCACAUAGUGGAACCAAAACAAAACAACAGGUAGCUAGUAGCUAGCGGCGCCCUUGUCGAACGGCGGACUUUUGUUGGUUUCCUCUGUGCUAUGUUGUCUGUGCCUGGAUUAAAGACACAAAAUGGACAACUUUACAGCACUGUACAUUUCAUACGUUCUAUACGCUUUAGUUUUGGUACAAAUGAUACGAGGUUCUUCCACCGUACAUGGAUCUGCUCAGGGCUUCUUAUAAAUCCUGCUUCCUCCAAUUUUGUCGCAACCUUUUUGAAUAGUUCGCCAUUCCGCAUUUUUCUUCCAUCCAUGUAUUUUAGGAUAUUUAACUCCUUUAGUUGCGAUAGCACGAAGUUGGUCUCCUCGUCCGUCCAGAAAUGUGUUUUUUUCGCCAUGAUACCUCCUCGACUAUGCGCUCGCUGUUCGAUUUCCGGGUUAAUUACCUGUCGCAGAGGAACCUCUAACCUUUCAGGACGUGCGCAGAACGCCUAGGCUAAUUUUUGGCCUAUUGAAGCAUGUAUAUGCCGUAGUAAGUCGACCCCAUCCCCAUUAUCUAGACACAAUCGCAGCCGACUCUGGUUGCAGGAUGAAGACUUCCAGGCUUUGGAGGGCACAGAGCUCGAAUGGACGGUGCUGUUCCCCUCACCUCUUCCCCCUGCGCCGCUGAACUCCCCCACAAGUGGGCAGAUCUGCCUGUCAAUCCACUGCAGAGUUUAUGGAUGGAUGACAAGAACCGGCUGUGGAAAUCUACUUUAAAAAUGGAUAUCAUGUUCUGUCCAGAAAUGAAACCAUCUCUGAGUCUUUGUAAAAGCGUCUGGUGCGUUCAGUAAGUUCCCUCUGUACUUCUGCUCCUUUGGGUGAUCUCAGCCCACAAGAGAUUUAUUUAAUCAGACAAAUGAAGACCGAAGA